RNAcentral lists this non-coding RNA (123 nucleotides) under human gut metagenome. Its description in RNAcentral is "yjdF RNA". It matches the Rfam family "azaaromatic riboswitch aptamer (yjdF RNA)". The record is from RNAcentral.
AACAAAGAUAAAAACACAACGCAGAAGAAACUCUGCCAGAGCCGGUAGGUAGUCCGGCCGCAUCUUAAAAUUAACAGAUGUAAGUACCCCUCCCUCCUUGGGCCGUCCGUUCUUUGUUCAUAU